AGUGAACGCUGGCGGUAGGCCUAACACAUGCAAGUCGAACGGCAGCACAGUAAGAGCUUGCUCUUACGGGUGGCGAGUGGCGGACGGGUGAGGAAUACAUCGGAAUCUUCUUUUUCGUGGGGGAUAACGUAGGGAAACUUACGCUAAUACCGCAUACGACCUACGGGUGAAAGCAGGGGAUCUUCGCACCUUGCGCGAUUGAAUGAGCCGAUGUCGGAUUAGCUAGUUGGCGGGGUAAAGGCCCACCAAGGCGACGAUCCGUAGCUGGUCUGAGAGGAUGAUCAGCCACACUGGAACGGAGACACGGUCCAGACUCCUACGGGAGGCAGCAGUGGGGAAUAUGGGACAAUGGGCGCAAGCCUGAUCCAGCCAUACCGCGUGGGUGAAGAAGGCCUUCGGGUUGUAAAGCCCUUUUGUUGGGAAAGAAAAGCAGCAGGUUAAUACCCCGCUGUUCUGACGGUACCCAAAGAAUAAGCACCGGCUAACUUCGUG
RNAcentral lists this ribosomal RNA (492 nucleotides) under uncultured bacterium. RNAcentral's name for it is "partial 16S ribosomal RNA". It matches the Rfam family "Bacterial small subunit ribosomal RNA", at positions 29 to 507 of the family's 1533-position model. The record is from RNAcentral.